CCCAAUCACUUGAAGUUUUAAUCUUACACACUCUAUUAUUUGAUUUGAUGUCUCAUAGAAAUAAUGGUUUAUUUGGAUGAGACCAUACUUGUUGAGUACAAAAGUCUACCCAAGUCUUGAACCUUUUGUAAAACUAUCAAACUUUUUUUUUAUUUUCCUCUUCCUCUUGGUCGAAUACCCUCAUACCCACACAAUUAGACUUUAUUUUAGUCUCCAAAUCUGAAUUCAAGGCCUAAAGGAUCAAGCUCAAAUCGUUUCUAGUGUUCCAAGUGUUGUGAGUUAAAAGAUCAAAGAUCAAGCUCCUUCUCAUCUAUCAUUUUUUUUUCUCCAUCGUAACACUUGGACACGAGAAGGUUAUUUCAAGCUUGGGGCUUUUCUUGUCUUUAUUUGGUAUAUGGAGUAUUAUGCUGUACCGGCCAGGAGCAAAUGCAUAGGACGAUGACCGUGACACGCUAGGGUGGACUCGGG
Molecule: long non-coding RNA, 468 nt
Organism: Helianthus annuus (common sunflower)
Lineage: Eukaryota; Viridiplantae; Streptophyta; Magnoliopsida; Asterales; Asteraceae
Exons: 3
Source: RefSeq, a predicted model, not a curated record